AUUGAACGCUGGCGGCAGGCCUAACACAUGCAAGUCGAGCGGAUGAAGGGAGCUUGCUCCUGGAUUCAGCGGCGGACGGGUGAGUAAUGCCUAGGAAUCUGCCUGGUAGUGGGGGAUAACGUCCGGAAACGGGCGCUAAUACCGCAUACGUCCUGAGGGAGAAAGUGGGGGAUCUUCGGACCUCACGCUAUCAGAUGAGCCUAGGUCGGAUUAGCUAGUUGGUGGGGUAAAGGCCUACCAAGGCGACGAUCCGUAACUGGUCUGAGAGGAUGAUCAGUCACCAUUGAACUGAGACACGGUCCAGAAUCCUAAGGGAGGCAGCAGUGGGGAAUAUUGGACAAUGGGCGGAAGCCUGGUCCAGCCCUGCCGGGUGUGUGAAGAAGGGCUUCGGAUUGUAAAGCACUUUAAGGUGGGAGGAAGGGCAGUAAGUUAAUACCUUGCUGUUUUGACGUUACCAACAGAAUAAGCACCGGCUAACUUCGUG
RNAcentral lists this ribosomal RNA (484 nucleotides) under uncultured bacterium. RNAcentral's name for it is "partial 16S ribosomal RNA". It matches the Rfam family "Bacterial small subunit ribosomal RNA", at positions 30 to 507 of the family's 1533-position model. The record is from RNAcentral.